Molecule: long non-coding RNA, 251 nt
Organism: Bufo bufo (common toad)
Lineage: Eukaryota; Metazoa; Chordata; Amphibia; Anura; Bufonidae
Exons: 3
Source: RefSeq, a predicted model, not a curated record
GGGUCAUCUAACUCCAAAGGAAAUGCAAAUCUGGCACAGUUUGGGAGAGAGAUGGACAAAAUCAAGGGCAGAGUGGCCAAAGGAACCUUUAAUUCCACAGUACAUACCAAGAUUUAAUAAUGGAUGGAUACCUCCAAUAGACAUCUUCCAGGGAGCACCUUGGGAGCAAGAUAUGGGACACCCACCAGAGCCUAUUAAACCCCUUUUCCUAGAAGAGCCACCAAAGCCAAAGGAAAAUCUUGAACCCAGGA